AGUUAGUGGCGGACGGGUGAGUAACGCGUGGAUAACCUGCCGUAUACCGGGGGAUAACACUUAGAAAUAGGUGCUAAUACCGCAUAAGCGCACGGCUCCGCAUGGGGCAGUGUGAAAAACUCCGGUGGUAUACGAUGGAUCCGCGUCUGAUUAGCUAGUUGGCGGGGUAACGGCCCACCAAGGCAGCGAUCAGUAGCCGGCCUGAGAGGGUGGACGGCCACAUUGGGACUGAGACACGGCCCAAACCCCUACGGAAGGCAGCAG
Molecule: ribosomal RNA, 264 nt
Filed under: uncultured bacterium
Lineage: Bacteria
Description: partial 16S ribosomal RNA
Rfam family: Bacterial small subunit ribosomal RNA
Source: RNAcentral